RNAcentral lists this ribosomal RNA (433 nucleotides) under uncultured bacterium. Its description in RNAcentral is "partial 16S ribosomal RNA". It matches the Rfam family "Bacterial small subunit ribosomal RNA", at positions 29 to 507 of the family's 1533-position model. The record is from RNAcentral.
AACGAACGCUGGCGGCAUGCCUAACACAUGCAAGUCGAACGAGACCUUCGGGUCUAGUGGCGCACGGGUGCGUAACGCGUGGGAACCUGCCCUUAGGUUCGGAAUAACUCCCCGAAAGGGGUGCUAAUACCGGAUAAUGUCUUCGGACCAAAGAUUUAUCGCCUUUGGAUGGGCCCGCGUUGGAUUAGCUUGUUGGUAGGGUAAAAGCCUACCAAGGCGACGAUCCAUAGCUGGUCUGAGAGGAUGAUCAGCCACACUGGGACUGAGACACGGCCCAGACUCCUACGGGAGGCAGCAGUGGGGAAUAUUGGACAAUGGGCGAAAGGCUGAUCAAGCAAUGCCGCGUGAGUGAUGAAGGACUUAGGGUUGUAAAGCUCUUUUAACCGGGAGGAUAAUGACAGUACCGGGAGAAUAAGCGCCGGCUAACUCCGUG